RNAcentral lists this ribosomal RNA (373 nucleotides) under uncultured organism. RNAcentral's name for it is "bacterial SSU rRNA". It matches the Rfam family "Bacterial small subunit ribosomal RNA", at positions 526 to 896 of the family's 1533-position model. The record is from RNAcentral.
CGUAGGACCCAAGCGUUAUCCGGAAUCACUGGGCGUAAAGCGUACGUAGGCGGAAAUUUAAGUGAUAUGCGAAAUCUUGUGGCUCAACCAUAUAGACUGUGUAUCAUACUGGGUUUCUAGAGGAUGGCAGAGGCAAGUGGAAUUGGUAGUGUAGCAGUGAAAUGCGUAGAUAUUACCAGGAACACCAAUGGCGAAGGCAGCUUGCUGGGCCAUAUCUGACGCUGAGGUACGAAAGCGUGGGGAGCGAACAGGAUUAGAUACCCUGGUAGUCCACGCCGUAAACGAUGCAGACUAUUAGUCUGGGGUAUCGACCCCCUGGGCUGAGAAGCUAACGCGAUAAGUCUGCCGCCUGGGGAGUACGAGCGCAAGCUUA